CACGUAGGAGGCAAACGUUAUCCGGAUUUACUGGGCGUAAAGCGCGUGUAGGUGGUUCUGUAAGUAGGGCGUGAAAGCUCCCGGCUCAACUGGGAGAGGCCGUUCUAAACUGCAGAGCUAGAGGAUGGUAGAGGGAGGUGGAAUUCCAGGUGUAGCGGUGGAAUGCGCAGAUAUCUGGAGGAACACCAGUGGCGAAGGCGGCCUCCUGGACCAUUCCUGACACUCAGACGCGAAAUCUAGGGUAGCAAACGGGAUUAGAUACCUCUGUA
RNAcentral lists this ribosomal RNA (269 nucleotides) under uncultured prokaryote. RNAcentral's name for it is "partial 16S ribosomal RNA". It matches the Rfam family "Bacterial small subunit ribosomal RNA", at positions 524 to 792 of the family's 1533-position model. The record is from RNAcentral.